CCCCUUUAGUUUACACUGGGGUUGUCAAAGGAUUUAAAUAAAUGAAACUUUAUUUGACCGUGGAGUUUACAGACCCUGGGACCCCUGCGCUCUCUGGCCUUAUUCUAAUUCUAUAGCGGUAAUUACCCUUCGUUUCUUUAAGUGCAAUAGAUUUAUUGCCUUAGAGACUAUGCACAGUUUGAUUGAAUUAUUCAUUUUUUCUUUGGUGUAGACUGCAUCUGGGGACUGAUGUGACGUGUAGAUUUUUUUUUUCAGGAACAAAGGGAAUGUGGAAAUGAAAGAGAGAGGGAGAGAGAGGCUGGCAGAUGUGAUGAGAUGCGGUGAAGGUGUAUCCAGCUUGGCACUCCCACUCCUCUCUUCUCCUCUCAUUGCAGCCCUGGGUGACUCUCAGGCUAACACAAACAGCUUUUCUUCCGCAGCCUGCCCUCUGUCACUGUCAGUUUCAUGAAUUCAAAAGCAACUUACCAGUGAUUUCUGGGAGCUGGGGCUGAUUCUCUUGUGUAUUUGUAAGAAUUUCUUCCA
Tinamus guttatus (white-throated tinamou) is the source of this 522-nucleotide non-coding RNA. NCBI's taxonomy places the organism in Eukaryota, Metazoa, Chordata, Aves, Tinamiformes, Tinamidae. The record is from RefSeq and is a predicted model, not a curated record.